GGCUCGGUGGUCUAGGGGUAUGAUUCGCGCUUCGGGUGUGCGAGAUCCCGACUUCAAGUCCCGGCCGAGGCCA
This 73-nucleotide transfer RNA is filed under the name Caerostris darwini. Its description in RNAcentral is "tRNA-Pro". The record is from RNAcentral. Lineage: Eukaryota; Metazoa; Arthropoda; Arachnida; Araneae; Araneidae.